CCUAUAAGAGUCAUUGCACUGCUAUGAGAAUCUCAUUUAAUCGAAAUAUUCGUAAAGUUUUUUAAAUUUACAAGUCUAUAAAUUAAAAAAGUAAAAAAUGGGUUAUUGUCCACCAGUCUGUUCACCUCCGGAUUGUCGUCCGAUCUGUGGACCUGCAUCUCCGCUCCUUUGCCAGAGCAGCGUGCCACCAACACAACGGUGCUAUCCUGUAAAUCCUUGCAUCAACAUAUACAGCUGUUACACUCAAAUUAUGUAACGCAAUGGACGAUUUCUAUAGUGAAUUUAAAAAUGUCUUACAAGUUUCUUUUCCCGAAACAGAUGGGUUUUCUUUUCAAGAUAUUGUUUUCAUUACAACGUACUCUAGAAGUUGGAUAGCAAAACUGAAAUUGCCUGUUUUGUAACUACUUAGUUAUUUAAAUUGCUAGGUUAAUUUAUCAUGUUAAAAUCUUUUACAUUAACUACGAACAGAUAAUUGCAAUUUGUUUUUAUUUCGGAAUUUUAAUGUCUUUUGAUUUCAUGUAUAUAUACUCGUACGUUUCUACGGUUGAAUUUUGCCACAUUUCACUACAAAUUGGCUUAGUUCUAAAUCUAGGUGGUUUAGUAAUAAGACAAUAAAGUAAACGAAACAGUAACAGGAGGCCCAAAAA
Molecule: long non-coding RNA, 647 nt
Organism: Bombyx mori (domestic silkworm)
Lineage: Eukaryota; Metazoa; Arthropoda; Insecta; Lepidoptera; Bombycidae
Exons: 2
Source: RefSeq, a predicted model, not a curated record